GAUGAACGCUGGCGGCGUGCCUAAUACAUGCAAGUCGAGCGAACGGACUAGAAGCUUGCUUCUCUGAUGUUAGCGGCGGACGGGUGAGUAACACGUGGAUAACCUACCUAUAAGACUGGGAUAACUUCGGGAAACCGUAGCUAAUACCGGAUAAUAUUUUGAACCGCAUGGUUCAAAAGUGAAAGACGGUCUUGCUGUCACUUAUAGAUGGAUCCGCGCUGCAUUAGCUAGUUGGUAAGGUAACGGCUUACCAAGGCAACGAUGCAUAGCCGACCUGAGAGGGUGAUCGGCCACACUGGAACUGGGACACGGUCCAGACGCCUACGGGAGGCAGCAGUAGGGAAUCUUCCGCAAUGGGCGAAAGCCUGACGGAGCAACGCCGAGUGAGUGAUGAAGGUCUUCGGAUCGUAAAACUCUGUUAUUAGGGAAGAACAUAUGUGUAAGUAACUGUGCACAUCUUGACGGUACCUAAUCAGAAAGCCACGGCUAACUACGUG
RNAcentral lists this ribosomal RNA (497 nucleotides) under uncultured bacterium. RNAcentral describes it as "partial 16S ribosomal RNA". It matches the Rfam family "Bacterial small subunit ribosomal RNA", at positions 28 to 507 of the family's 1533-position model. The record is from RNAcentral.